GAUGAAUGCUGGCGGCGUGCCUAACACAUGCAAGUCGAGCGGCAGCGAGGGGUGCUUGCACCCUGUCGGCGAGCGGCGAACGGCUGAGUAACGCGUAGGAAUUUGCCCCAAAGUGAGGAAUAACUGCCCGAAAGGGUAGCUAAUGCCGCAUAUGGUCUUCGGAUUAAAGGAUUUAUCCGCUUUGGGAGAAGCCUGCGUUGGAUUAGGUUGUUGGUAGGGUAAUGGCCUACCAAGCCGACGAUCCAUAGCUGGUCUGAGAGGAUGAUCAGCCAGACUGGAACUGAGACACGGUCCAGACUCCUACGGGAGGCAGCAGUGAGGAAUCUUCCACAAUGGGCGAAAGCCUGAUGGAGCAACGCCGCGUGAAGGAUGAGGGCCUUCGGGUUGUAAACUUCUUUUAUGAGUGAAGAAUAUGACGGUAACUCAUGAAUAAGCACCGGCUAACUACGUG
RNAcentral lists this ribosomal RNA (451 nucleotides) under uncultured bacterium. RNAcentral's name for it is "partial 16S ribosomal RNA". It matches the Rfam family "Bacterial small subunit ribosomal RNA", at positions 28 to 507 of the family's 1533-position model. The record is from RNAcentral.